This is a long non-coding RNA of Saccostrea cuccullata (small rock oyster), 481 nucleotides long. RefSeq lists it as uncharacterized. The record is from RefSeq and is a predicted model, not a curated record. The transcript has 5 exons. Lineage: Eukaryota; Metazoa; Mollusca; Bivalvia; Ostreida; Ostreidae.
AAAUUAAUAUGUAAUUUGUAUAUAGGAUGUGGUCACUUAUGUGCUAGUGGCAAUAAUUCCAUUUGCUUGUACAAUGACCUAAACAACCCUGCCUGUUUCUGUGAACUCGGCCUGACGUAUACGGGGAGUUAUUGCAAAAAAGACAGGUCUUCGACUACGCAAAACGUGCAGUUUGUUGAGCCUACCCCAGGUCCUGGAUCAACAAUUUUCUGUCAGUUCAACUUCCAUUCUUGUUCAUUUUCGGCUUACGUUUACUCAUUAUCACUUCCACGAAUUUCUGUUCAUGAUGUAAAAGACAAAACUGUUAAAACAGCAAUUGGUGAUAAAAGAGAAACUAAACGGACAAAUAUUUACAGAGUGAUUGUUAAAAUUUCAAAUCCUUUCAAUGUCUUAGAGAGUAUACCUUGCCUUAACUUAGAAAACCAAUACAAUAUCAGUGACGUCAACACCCGAUGUUUUCACGUUGUUUGGAACUCUUCAA